Molecule: ribosomal RNA, 615 nt
Filed under: uncultured Syndiniales
Lineage: Eukaryota; Dinophyceae; Syndiniales
Description: SSU rRNA
Rfam family: Eukaryotic small subunit ribosomal RNA
Source: RNAcentral
UAUAUUAAGUUGUUGCGGUUAAAAGCUCGUAGUUGGAUUUCUGUUGAGGAAGUCCGGUCCGCACUUUGUGCGUGAUCUGGUUCUGCCUCGGCAUCCUCGCGGGGAACGCGCUGCGCUUGAUUGCGUGGUGCGGUAUUCGCGACUUUUACUUUGAGGAAAUUAGAGUGUUCACGGCAGGCAAUCGCCUUGAAUACGUUAGCAUGGAAUAAUAAUAUAGGACCUUGGUUCUAUUUUGUUGGUUUCUAGAACUAGGGUAAUGAUUAAUAGGGAUAAUUGGGGGCAUUUGUAUUAACACGUCAGAGGUGAAAUUCUUGGAUUGUGUUACGACAAACUACUGCGAAAGCAUUUGCCAAGGAUGUUUUCAUUGAUCAAGAACGAAAGUAAGGGGAUCGAAGACGAUUAGAUACCGUCGUAGUCUUUACCAUAAACUAUGCCAACUAGAGAUUGGAGGUCGUUCUUUUUAUGACUCCUUCAGCACCUUAUGAGAAAUCAAAGUCUUUGGGUUCCGGGGGGAGUAUGGUCGCAAGGCUGAAACUUAAAGGAAUUGACGGAAGGGCACCACCAGGAGUGGAGCCUGCGGCUUAAUUUGACUCAACACGGGAAAACUUACCAGGU